GACGGAGUCCUCUAGCUUUUGCCUGACUGGAGGGAGGAGGUGGGACGUGCGCGAGUCGCUUGCUUUACCCGGGCUCUACGAAGGCUCGGGCGGGAAGUCGGCUGUCUCAUGCUUCUCUCUUCGGGCUCGGCGAAAAAAAGUUGUUGCAGUUUUAUCUUUCCACAAGGCGAGAGGAGACGAGUUGGGGAAAACGGACGGCUGCAUGCAGUGGCCCAACUGGUCGAUGGCUUCAUCUGUGGGUGGCCCCAUCACUGGAGGAUCACCAUGGCGACGUGAUCAAAAUUCAGACGCUUCGCAACUGACUCAUAUUUAUGACAAUUGCAGUGCCCUGAUAUCAUGUGAUCACCUUUGGCAACCUUCUGAUUAGCAGAAUCAAUAGGGAAGCGAGAUAUAACCGUCAUUACCAGAAGCAAUUUGCCAUCACCUGAAACUCUUGUCUAGUAAACUGCAACAUCCAAGUACUAAUCGGCAUCAAACCUCAUAGCUAUACCAGCUGCUGAGAUGUAACUGCAUAGGUAUUAUCCACAAAAAUUUGAAAUAAAGAGGCAAAUAUAGAUACACACAAAGUAAACUCUUCUUUUCAAGAUCAAUCAAAUGUAAUCACUCAGCUAUGUCGGAAUAGCACUGUGAUCUUCAAGAAUUCCAGAGGACCUGCCUCCUCCAAAGGAAUUUGCAAGUUACCAGUACAUCCCAAUUACCCUUUAAAAGUGUAUGUAUGAUAAUCUGAGCAAUCAAAGAUCCUGGAAUUUUUGCUUUAUAAUGAUACUGAGCAUUGAUCCUUAUAUACUUCUCUUCCUAUUAGGUCCUCUUUUGUCUG
Molecule: long non-coding RNA, 817 nt
Filed under: Naja naja (Indian cobra)
Lineage: Eukaryota; Metazoa; Chordata; Lepidosauria; Squamata; Elapidae
Description: lncRNA (ENSNNAG00000000047.1)
Source: RNAcentral